GUACACGCUGUGACUAGCAUAUCAAUAAGCGGAGGAAAAGAAACUAACAAGGAUUCCCCUAGUAACGGCGAGUGAAGCGGGAAGAGCUCAAAUUUGAAAUCUUGAAGGGUUUCCCUUUACGAAUUGUAGUUUAAAGAAGUGUUUUCUGUUGAGGUUUUGGUAAAAGUUCUUUGGAAUAGGACAUCAUAGAGGGCGAGAAUCCCGUAUUUGACCUUUACUUUCAACUUUGUGAUACACUUUCAAAGAGUCGGAUUGUUUGGGAUGCAGUCCAAAAUGGGUGGUAAAUUUCAUCUAAAGCUAAAUAUUGGCGAGGGACCGAUAGCGAACAAGUACCGUGAGGGAAAGAUGAAAAGAACUUUGAAAAGAGAGUUAAACAGUACGUGAAAUUGUCAAAAGGGAAGCGUUUGACACCAGGUGUUGUUUUUCUGAAAAUCAAUUAAAGAACUGUUUAUGCUAAGUUGUUUAGACUUUAUCAGCUAACUGUUUAGUUUUGAGCUUUUCUUUAAUGCACUUUUCAGUUAACAAGUCAACAUCAAUUUCUUUUGCUGUAAAAAAGCUUGAGGAAGGUGGCUUGAGAUUCGUCUUAAGUGUUUAUAGCCUCUUGCCUAUGCAGUCGGAGAGAUUGAGGUCUGCAGCGUAGAUCCUUCGGGGCUAAAUGCAUUUGUGCUAAGUUAUAGCAUUUUAUAGACAACUUGUUGACUAUGAUUUGUCUUGUAGCUUACUCGCUUAUGUUAUUUUACCUACGCUUAGGAUGUUGAAGAUGUAGCACAUCAU
RNAcentral lists this ribosomal RNA (774 nucleotides) under uncultured Neocallimastigales. Its description in RNAcentral is "partial large subunit ribosomal RNA". It matches the Rfam family "Eukaryotic large subunit ribosomal RNA", at positions 22 to 643 of the family's 3401-position model. Lineage: Eukaryota; Fungi; Neocallimastigomycota; Neocallimastigomycetes; Neocallimastigales. The record is from RNAcentral.